Molecule: ribosomal RNA, 900 nt
Filed under: uncultured bacterium
Lineage: Bacteria
Description: bacterial SSU rRNA
Rfam family: Bacterial small subunit ribosomal RNA
Source: RNAcentral
UGAAAGCCUACGGCUCAACCGUAGAACUGCAUCCAAAACUAUUUAGCUAGAGUGUGGGAGAGGAAGAUGGAAUUAGUUGUGUAGGGGUAAAAUCCGUAGAGAUAACUAGGAAUACCAAAAGCGAAGGCAAUCUUCUGGAACACUACUGACGCUGAGGCGCGAAAGCGUGGGGAGCAAACAGGAUUAGAUACCCUGGUAGUCCACGCAGUAAACGAUGAAUGUUAGUCGUCGGGGGCCUAGUGUCUUCGGUGAUGCAGCUAACGCAUUAAACAUUCCGCCUGGGGAGUACGGUCGCAAGAUUAAAACUCAAAGGAAUAGACGGGGACCCGCACAAGUGGUGGAGCAUGUGGUUUAAUUCGAAGAUACGCGAAGAACCUUACCUAGCCUUGACAUAUUUUAGAACUCCGUAGAGAUACAGAGGUGCCUUCGGGAGCUAAUUUACAGGUGCUGCACGGCUGUCGUCAGCUCGUGUCGUGAGAUGUUGGGUUAAGUCCCGCAACGAGCGCAACCCUCGUCACUAGUUACUAACGGUUCGGCCGAGGGCUCUAGUGAGACUGCCUUCGUAAGGAGGAGGAAGGUGAGGACGACGUCAAGUCAUCAUGGCCCUUACGGCUAGGGCAACACACGUGCUACAAUGGCCAGGACAGUGAGACGCGAUACCGUGAGGUGGAGCAAAUCUAUAAACCUGGUCUCAGUUCGGAUUGUAGUCUGCAACUCGACUACAUGAAGCUGGAAUCACUAGUAAUCGUAGAUCAGCUAUGCUACGGUGAAUACGUUCCCGGGUCUUGUACUCACCGCCCGUCACACCAUGGGAGUUGAUUUCACCCGAAGCGGGGAAGCUAAACUGGCUACCCUCCACGGUGGAAUUAGCGACUGGGGUGAAGUCGUAACAAGGUAACC